This 499-nucleotide ribosomal RNA is filed under the name uncultured bacterium. Its description in RNAcentral is "bacterial SSU rRNA". It matches the Rfam family "Bacterial small subunit ribosomal RNA", at positions 21 to 507 of the family's 1533-position model. The record is from RNAcentral.
GGCUCAGGAUGAACGCUAGCUACAGGCUUAACACAUGCAAGUCGAGGGGAAACGAUAGAGAAAGCUUGCUUUUUCUAGGCGUCGACCGGCGCACGGGUGAGUAACGCGUAUCCAACCUGCCCAUCACUUGGGGAUAACCUUGUGAAAGUAAGACUAAUACCCAAUGACGUCUCUAGAAGACAUCUGAAAGAGAUUAAAGAUUUAUCGGUGAUGGAUGGGGAUGCGUCUGAUUAGCUUGUUGGCGGGGUAACGGCCCACCAAGGCGACGAUCAGUAGGGGUUCUGAGAGGAAGGUCCCCCACAUUGGAACUGAGACACGGUCCAAACUCCUACGGGAGGCAGCAGUGAGGAAUAUUGGUCAAUGGACGAGAGUCUGAACCAGCCAAGUAGCGUGCAGGAUGACGGCCCUAUGGGUUGUAAACUGCUUUUAUAAGGGAAUAAAGUGGGAGUCGUGACUCUUUUUGCAUGUACCUUAUGAAUAAGGACCGGCUAAUUCCGUG